GGCGUAGGCGGCCUUUCAAGUCAGAUGUGAAAUCUCCCGGCUCAACUGGGAGGGUGCAUCUGAUACUGAUGGGCUAGAGUACAGCAGAGGGAAGUGGAACUCCCGGUGUAGUGGUGAAAUGCGUAGAUAUCGGGAAGAACACUAGUGGCGAAGGCGGCUUCCUGGGAUGUCACUGACGCUGGGGCCCGAAGGCGUGGGGAGCAAACAGGAUCAGAUACCCUGGUAGUCCACGCAGUAAACAAUGGACACUAGGUAUGGGGGGUAUCGACCCCCUCCGUGCCGAAGCUAACGCUUUAAGUGUCCCGCCUGGGGAGUACGGUCGCAAGACUAAA
This 332-nucleotide ribosomal RNA is filed under the name uncultured bacterium. Its description in RNAcentral is "bacterial SSU rRNA". It matches the Rfam family "Bacterial small subunit ribosomal RNA", at positions 568 to 898 of the family's 1533-position model. The record is from RNAcentral.